RNAcentral lists this ribosomal RNA (455 nucleotides) under Campylobacter gracilis. RNAcentral describes it as "bacterial SSU rRNA". It matches the Rfam family "Bacterial small subunit ribosomal RNA", at positions 29 to 499 of the family's 1533-position model. The record is from RNAcentral. Lineage: Bacteria; Pseudomonadati; Campylobacterota; Epsilonproteobacteria; Campylobacterales; Campylobacteraceae.
AGUGAACGCUGGCGGCGUGCCUAAUACAUGCAAGUCGAACGGAAUUUAAAAGAGCUUGCUCUUUUAAAUUUAGUGGCGCACGGGUGAGUAAUAUAUAGCUAAUCUGCCCCUUGCUGGAGGACAACAGUUAGAAAUGACUGCUAAUACUCCAUACUCCUUUUUACCAUAAGAUAAAUCGGGAAAGAAUUUCGGCAAGGGAUGAGACUAUAUCGUAUCAGCUAGUCGGUGGGGUAACGGCCUACCGAGGCUAUGACGCGUAACUGGUCUGAGAGGAUGAUCAGUCACAUUGGAACUGAGACACGGUCCAAACUCCUACGGGAGGCAGCAGUAGGGAAUAUUGCGCAAUGGGGGAAACCCUGACGCAGCAACGCCGCGUGGAGGAUGACACUUUUCGGAGCGUAAACUCCUUUUGUUAGGGAAGAAUAAUGACGGUACCUAACGAAUAAGCACGGCUA